AUUCCAGCUCCAAUAGCGUAUAUUAAAGUUGUUGCAGUUAAAAAGCUCGUAGUUGGAUCUCAGGUGCAGGCGGGCGGUCCGGCUCGCGCCGGUUCCACUGCCCGUAUCUCCUGCCCUACCGUCUGCCGGCUCUCUCCCGUGGGUGCUCUUCGCUGAGCGUCCCGGGUGGCCGGUGCGUUUACUUUGAAAAAAUUAGAGUGUUCAAAGCAGGCCUCGGCAGCCUGAAUAAUGGUGCAUGGAAUAAUGGAAUAGGACCUCGGUUCUAUUUUGUUGGUUUUCGGAACGGAGGUAAUGAUUAACAGGGACAAACGGGGGCAUUCGUAUUGCGGCGUUAGAGGUGAAAUUCUUGGAUCGCCGCAAGACGAGCUACUGCGAAAGCAUUUGUCAAGAAUGUUUUCAUUA
Molecule: ribosomal RNA, 402 nt
Filed under: Aplysia sp. (sea hare)
Lineage: Eukaryota; Metazoa; Mollusca; Gastropoda; Aplysiida; Aplysiidae
Description: partial small subunit ribosomal RNA
Rfam family: Eukaryotic small subunit ribosomal RNA
Source: RNAcentral